Molecule: ribosomal RNA, 274 nt
Filed under: uncultured bacterium
Lineage: Bacteria
Description: partial 16S ribosomal RNA
Rfam family: Archaeal small subunit ribosomal RNA
Source: RNAcentral
AAACCAGCACCUCAAGUGGUCAGGAUGAUUAUUGGGCCUAAAGCAUCCGUAGCCUGCUUUGCCAGUUUUCGGUUAAAUCUGUACGCUCAACGUACAGGCUGCCGGGAAUACUGCAGAGCUAGGGAGUGGGAGAGGUAGACGGUACUCGGGAGGAAGUGGUAAAAUGCUUUGAUCUCUCGAUGACCACCUGUGGCGAAGGCGGUCUACCAGAACACGUCCGACGGUGAGGGAUGAAAGCUGGGGGAGCAAACCGGAUUAGAUACCCGAGUAGUCC